This 328-nucleotide ribosomal RNA is filed under the name uncultured bacterium. RNAcentral's name for it is "bacterial SSU rRNA". It matches the Rfam family "Bacterial small subunit ribosomal RNA", at positions 32 to 348 of the family's 1533-position model. The record is from RNAcentral.
AAUCAACGCUGGCGGCGUGCCUCAGACAUGCAAGUCGAACGAUUAAACUUUCCUUCGGGAAAGAUAUAAAGUGGCGCACGGGUGAGUAACACGUAGAUAAUGUACCUUUGGGUGGGGAAUAACAGUCGGAAACGACUGCUAAUACCGCAUAAUGCAGCGGCAUCGCAAGAUGACAAUUGUUAAAGCGAGCAAUCGCGCCUAAAGAGCAGUCUGCGGCAGAUUAGGUAGUUGGUAAGGUAAUGGCUUACCAAGCCUGCGAUCUGUAACCGACCUGAGAGGGUGGUCGGUCACACUGACACUGAAUAACGGGUCAGACUCCUACGGGAGG